This 440-nucleotide ribosomal RNA is filed under the name uncultured Alphaproteobacteria bacterium. Its description in RNAcentral is "bacterial SSU rRNA". It matches the Rfam family "Bacterial small subunit ribosomal RNA", at positions 338 to 795 of the family's 1533-position model. Lineage: Bacteria; Pseudomonadati; Pseudomonadota; Alphaproteobacteria. The record is from RNAcentral.
CCUACGGGAGGCUGCAGUGGGGAAUCUUGGACAAUGGGCGAAAGCCUGAUCCAGCCAUGCCGCGUGAAUGAUGAAGGCCCUAGGGUUGUAAAAUUCUUUCGACGGGGAAGAUAAUGACGGUACCCGUAGAAGAAGCUCCGGCUAACUUCGUGCCAGCAGCCGCGGUAAUACGAAGGGGGCUAGCGUUGUUCGGAAUUACUGGGCGUAAAGCGCACGUAGGCGGAUCGAUAAGUAAGAGGUGAAAUCCCAGAGCUCAACUCUGGAACUGCCUUUUAAACUGUCGAUCUGGAGCAGAGUAGAGGUGAGUGGAAUUCCGAGUGUAGAGGUGAAAUUCGUAGAUAUUCGGAGGAACACCAGUGGCGAAGGCGGCUCACUGGACUCUUACUGACGCUGAGGUGCGAAAGCGUGGGGAGCAAACAGGAUUAGAUACCCGUGUAGUC